GCACCCGCGGUAAUUCCAGCUCCAAUAGCGUAUAUUAAAGUUGUUGCAGUUAAAAAGCUCGUAGUUGGAUUUCUGGGAGGGUGCCGAUGUCCACUUAACGUGUGCGCAGCGGCGCCCUCUCAUCCUUCUGUUAGCGUCUCUUGGCAUUCAUUUGCUGGUGGCGGGCUCAGAUAUUUUACCUUGAGAAAAUUAGAGUGUUUCAGGCAGGCUAGGCCGGAAUACAUUAGCAUGGAAUAAUGGAAUAGGACUACGGUCUCUUUGUUGGUUUGAGGGACUGCAGUAAUGAUUAAUAGGGAUAGCUGGGGGCAUUAGUACUUAACUGUCAGAGGUGGAAUUCUCAGAUUUGUUAAAGACUGACUUAUGCGAAAGCAUUUGCCAAGGAUGUUUUCAUCGAUCAAGAACGAAAGU
RNAcentral lists this ribosomal RNA (408 nucleotides) under uncultured eukaryote. Its description in RNAcentral is "SSU rRNA". It matches the Rfam family "Eukaryotic small subunit ribosomal RNA", at positions 570 to 990 of the family's 1831-position model. The record is from RNAcentral.